Molecule: ribosomal RNA, 758 nt
Filed under: uncultured archaeon
Lineage: Archaea
Description: bacterial SSU rRNA
Rfam family: Archaeal small subunit ribosomal RNA
Source: RNAcentral
GGAUAACCUACCCUUUAGGACUGGGAUAACCCUGGGAAACUGGGGAUAAUACCGGAUAGGCAAUUUUUCCUGUAAUGGUUUUUUGUUUAAAUGUUUUUUCGCCUAAGGAUGGGUCUGCGGCCGAUUAGGUAGUUGGUUAGGUAAUGGUUUACCAAGCCGUUGAUCGGUACGGGUUGUGAGAGCAAGAGCCCGGAGAUGGAACCUGAGACAAGGUUCCAGGCCCUACGGGGUGCAGCAGGCGCGAAACCUCCGCAAUGUGAGAAAUCGCGACGGGGGGAUCCCAAGUGCCAUUCUUAACGGGAUGGCUUUUCAUUAGUGUAAAGAGCUUUUGGAAUAAGGGCUGGGCAGGACCGGUGCCAGCCGCCGCGGUAACACCGGCAGCUCUAGUGGUAGCAGUUUUUAUUGGGCCUAAAGCGUCCGUAGCCGGUUUAAUAAGUCUCUGGUGAAAUCCUGUAGCUUAACUGUGGGAAUUGCUGGAGAUACUAUUAGACUUGAGACCGGGAGAGGUUAGAGGUACUCCCAGGGUAGAGGUGAAAUUCUGUAAUCCUGGGAGGACCGCCUGUUGCGAAGGCGUCUAACUGGAACGGUUCUGACGGUGAGGGACGAAAGUUAGGGGCGCGAACCGGAUUAGAUACCCGGGUAGUCCUAACUGUAAACGAUGCGGACUUGGUGUUGGGGUGGCUUUGAGCUGCUUCAGUGCCGAAGGGAAGCUGUUAAGUCCGCCGCCUGGGAAGUACGGUCGCAAGACUGAAACUUAA